UUGGAGGGCAAGUCUGGUGCCAGCAGCCGCGGUAAUUCCAGCUCCAAUAGCGUAUAUUUAAGUUGUUGCAGUUAAAAAGCUCGUAGUUGAAUUUCGGGGUUAGUAGGUUGGUCAUGCCUCCGGUAUGUACUGGUCUCACUGAUUCCUCCUUCCUGAUGAACCGUAAUGCCAUUAAUUUGGUGUUGCGGGGAAUUUGGACUGUUACUUUGAAAAAAUUAGAGUGUUUAAAGCAAGCUAACGCUUGAAUACAUUAGCAUGGAAUAAUGAAAUAGGACGUUCGAUCCUAUUUUGUUGGUUUCUAGGAUUGACGUAAUGAUUAAUAGGGAUAGUUGGGGGCAUUAGUAUUCAAUUGUCAGAGGUGAAAUUCUUGGAUUUAUUGAAGACUAACUACUGCGGAAGCAUUUGCCAAGGAUGUUUUCAUUAAUCAAGAACGAAAGUUAGGGGAUCGAAGACGAUCAGAUACCGUCGUAGUCUUAACCAUAAACUAUGCCGACUAGGGAUCGGAUGAUGUUAAUUUUUUAAUGACUCAUUCGGCGCCUUACGGGAAACCAAAGUGUUUGGGUUC
This 565-nucleotide ribosomal RNA is filed under the name uncultured Glomeromycotina. RNAcentral's name for it is "SSU rRNA". It matches the Rfam family "Eukaryotic small subunit ribosomal RNA", at positions 548 to 1114 of the family's 1831-position model. Lineage: Eukaryota; Fungi; Glomeromycota. The record is from RNAcentral.